RNAcentral lists this ribosomal RNA (406 nucleotides) under uncultured bacterium. RNAcentral's name for it is "partial 16S ribosomal RNA". It matches the Rfam family "Bacterial small subunit ribosomal RNA", at positions 30 to 526 of the family's 1533-position model. The record is from RNAcentral.
AUUGAACGCUGGCGGCAGGUCUAACACAUGCAAGUCGACCGCGUGCCGGACGGGUGAGUAAUGUCUGGGAAACUGCCUGAUGGAGGGGGAUAACUACUGGUAACGGUAGCUACUACCGCAUACCACAGGCUGUGCCCAGAUGGGAUUAGCUAGUAGGUGGGGAAACGCGUCACCUACGCGACGAUCCCUAGCUGGUCUGAGAGGAUGACAAGCCACACUGGAACUGAGACACGGUCCAGACUCCUACGUGAGGCAGCAGUGGGGAAUAUUGCACAAUGGGCGCAAGCCUGAUGCAGCCAUGCCGCGUGUAUGAAGAAGGCCUUCGGGUUGUAAAGUACUUUCAGCGAGGAGGCGUUACUCGCAGAAGAAGCACCGGCUAACUCCGUGCCAGCAGCCGCGGUAAUUC